RNAcentral lists this ribosomal RNA (443 nucleotides) under uncultured Oscillospiraceae bacterium. Its description in RNAcentral is "bacterial SSU rRNA". It matches the Rfam family "Bacterial small subunit ribosomal RNA", at positions 338 to 795 of the family's 1533-position model. The record is from RNAcentral. Lineage: Bacteria; Bacillati; Bacillota; Clostridia; Eubacteriales; Oscillospiraceae.
CCUACGGGGGGCUGCAGUGGGGAAUAUUGCACAAUGGAGGAAACUCUGAUGCAGCGACGCCGCGUGGGGGAAGAAGGUCUUCGGAUUGUAAACCUCAGUAGUCAGGGAAGAAGCAAGUGACGGUACCUGAAGAGUAAGCUCCGGCUAACUACGUGCCAGCAGCCGCGGUAAUACGUAGGGAGCGAGCGUUGUCCGGAAUUACUGGGUGUAAAGGGUGCGUAGGCGGGUCAGCAAGUCAGGCGUGAAAUACCGGGGCUCAACUCCGGGGCUGCGCUUGAAACUGUUGGUCUUGAGUGAAGUAGAGGCAGGCGGAAUUCCUAGUGUAGCGGUGAAAUGCGUAGAUAUUAGGAGGAACACCAGUGGCGAAGGCGGCCUGCUGGGCUUUAACUGACGCUGAUGCACGAAAGCGUGGGGAGCAAACAGGAUUAGAUACCCCAGUAGUC